Long non-coding RNA from Aethalodelphis obliquidens (Pacific white-sided dolphin), 4379 nucleotides. RefSeq lists it as uncharacterized. The transcript is spliced from 2 exons. Lineage: Eukaryota; Metazoa; Chordata; Mammalia; Artiodactyla; Delphinidae. The record is from RefSeq and is a predicted model, not a curated record.
AAAGUAAUGAACUGGCCCAGCUGUCGCAAGGUUUUCCAGUGGAUUGAAGGGAUAAAUGUUGGGGGAAUCGAGUCAUCAUAAGGCACGCAGUGGCAUAGCAAUGCUGAGCUCCAGGAUGCCCGCAGUAUAGCCAUCAGUACUACGUUCACGUCGGGAGUCGCGGCUCAGUUUCAGAAAAAUAUCACCUGUCAGGUUAAACUUAGAUGUUCUCAUCAUGAAAACAUUUACCAGUAAAUUUCCUGCAUACAAAUCUUCUCUUAGAGUGUGUUUCCCAGAGAACCACAACUAUGAGAGUUGGUGCCAGGUGUGGUAUGAGGAAGCCAACCCUACAAUGAGAUUUUGGAGCCGGAUCAUCUUCCAGCUGACUGGCAUUGAGGACAGCAUCAAUGGUGACAAGUGGAACAGAGAUCACCCCAGGCUUGUAGCAAUGCAUUCAUUAAAACUGUCACAGUUGGUGUACUGGGAUGGGAUACCAAUGGAAAGGAAUUUAUGGGUGGAUUGUGGAAAGGAAUGCAGAGGUAGGGGCAAUACCACAGGUGUCUGAGAAGUUUGGUGGAAGUAGUUAUUAUAAGAACUGUGGAAUUGGAUGGCUAUUCCUGAGGAAAAUUAAUCAAAUAGAGUAAGACAAUGAAAACUGAGGGAUAUUAAUUAUUAAUUAAAGGUUAAGUAUGAAAGUCAGAAGGCCUUUUGGGCAGCAUAUAAGCAGACGCUUAAAAAUCAAAGGGAUCAGGCAUAGUGCAUAUAAGAAUACUAGUGCUCCAGAGGUGGUUGAAUUUUUAACAUUAGAAAGUCUGUGACACCAAGGCCAUGGCCCUGACUGGGAAAGAGUAGUAGCCUAUGACAUGAAAUGGGGAAAUCGGAACUUCCUAGGGCUGCAGAAAGGGCCCACUAUUCCCUGUUAAAGGACCUUCCCUCCCACCCUCUUGCUUGAAAACAACUUGGAAGCCUCUGUCACGCAAGACAAUAAGAAGUCCCCUUGGGAUCCACACCCAUCUCACAUCCUGGCUACCAGGUCAAUAAUUAGGGUCAAAUCACAAUAAAACUCAUCUGUGGAAGUGCUGGCCCGCUAAGGAAGGAUAGCAACUCUACCUGGAAGGAAGUGCAAGAACUUACCAAUAUGGUAGCUGCUGCUGGGAGGAUGGGUAUGGAACUGGGUCCUGAGGGUGCUGCAUGAAGGGAAGUUAGAACAUAAUAAAGGAGUUUAUCACGGGAGCACGCUUCCAUGAUACAUGAUUUAACAAUAUUGGCAAUGACCCUGAAAAGAAAGGGAAGGCUCACACCAAGCGAAAUAGAAAUUCCAGAGCUGCUGUGGUAGGCAGUGAAAAACAGAUCAGAAGUUUCAGAGAAGAGGGCAUGCUAGAAUAGACAUACAAUCUAAGGUCAGCGAGCCCAUUAGCUGAUUAUGUUCUGGGAAAGGGCCCAGAGAAUAGUCUAUUUAUCAAUGUAUUAAACAAAUGCUCUGGUGAGAGGGCACCAGAUUCACUGAAAUGCUCACUGGUAUUUGUCCUUGAUGAUAGGAGACGCUGAUAUAGAACUGAGCUUCCUGGUAACAAGGGGAUAAUAGGAUUCUAAAAUAAUAAAGACCUGUUGGUCUUUAAUCAUCAGAAGAAAUGAGGCUACAAAAUCAGAGGGGCAUGGGGUGAGUGGGUUUGACCUCUAAGAAGGCUAAGGGUUGGUUAACAGAAGAUGUCUUCCCUAGGAGCAAGACAGAAGGCAGGCAAUAAGGGUAUUGCUUAAUUUAUGCAACAAGAGAAAUCAAGGAUGGAUGAUAAAAGGGCUGAAUGCAUCCAGACCCAAAAGUCAUGAUCCUUUGCUCAGUUUCCAGACCCCGAGCUGUUUUAAGACCUAGAACCCCUGAAUUAAGGGAGAGGCCAUAUCUCCAGGAGGAAGGACUCUGCAAUACCAUGGCAAGUGUAUAUGGUGACAAUCCCCCUAGUCCUUUCCCAAGGACACCUAUGGCAUUUACGCAGAUAACCAAUCACUGGGUAAAAGGCAAUACCCAAACAUUACAAGGACUGUUGGACCUGGGGUACAAUUUAACAUUGCUAUCCAGGGAACCAAAACAUUUUUGUGGACCACUUUUAUAGUGGGGGCAAAUGGGAGACCAGGUAAUAAAUGGAGUCCUGACUCAGGUCCGUCUCACAGUGGAUCUGAGGGUUCUAUAGACCCACCAGUGAGAAAAGUCUUCAAAGGACUUUUCUGUAUAACAGGAAAGAAUAAAAGGAAAGUAAAUACCAAGUUUCAAGAAACCACAACAGCCUAAUUUACAUAAUACAAGUUAUUCAACCUACCUUGAUGGACUAGGUUAGGACUAGGUUCAUGUAUAUUGACCAAAAACUCAAACAAAGAAUGGCAUAAAAAUAUGAAUUCAUUCACUCUUGUAAAAGAAGCCUGCAGGUCUAUCAUAGGGGACUCAGACACUGAUUUUUCUCUUCCACCAUCCUUAACAUGAGGGCUCUAUUUUCAAGGUCAUUUUAUAGUCUGAUAUGAUUGCUGGAGCUCCAGCCAUCAUGUACAUAUACCAGGAAGGAAGAAUAGAAAGGAACAAGCGCCUUAGUGUAUGCCCUCCCUUUAAAAAGAGCCUUCCUGAAAUUUUUACCCAACUUCUAAUGUAACUUGUAGUUACAUUUGAUUAGCUAAACUUCGUUUCACAUGGCCAUGCUAAGUGUCAAGGGAGGAUGAUCAAUAAUAGUUUAUCAGCAGAGAAGAUUGUUUCCUUGAAUAAAGUGGGGUUCUAAGAACAAAGGGGAGAAUGGACAUUGGAUGGACAAUAGCCCUGUCUGCCAUUGCCAAAGACGGCAUCCAUGGCUCAGAAGCUAUAUUCAGUAGAUGUUCUUCAGCUUUAAAGAACUGGGAAAAAUCCAAAGCCACAUUGCCUGUAUUUUGUCUGUACCUUGAGCUCCUCUCCAGAAUCCAUGGGGAGUUUUCAUCUUAGAACCCAUCACCUCAGUGCUCCCUCAGUCUCCCAGGCUGGCUCAAGCCAGAAGAGACAAAUUUUUCUCUGGGCUUGUCCUACUUGGUUUCAAUUUUUGGCCAGGGAGUCAUACCUCUUCCCUAGGUGACUUUCAGUAAAACUCACCAUUUUAGGGUAGUAUGUUGUGGAAUUUUCUGUCCUCUAGCAUGGUAGAUUCUUAUUUUAAUGGCUGCCAAUGAAUCAUGCAUCUGGUACUCACUCCCUUACGUAUUGUAUCGCCUUCCCACACUGACGCUGGCCUUGGCCAUGUGACAUGCUCUGGCCAAUGAGACAUCAGCAAAUGUCAAGCCAGAGACUUGAUAUGUGCUUUUGCACUGGGACUUGUAUUCUUGGAUCACCUGUAAGAAAGUGUAAGAAAGCUAGGUCAUCUUGUUGGAGAGGUUGCAUGGAUGAGAACUGAGACUUAACAGCCAGCAGCCCCAGCUAAUCUCCAGGCAUGUGAGUGAGGCCCUCUUGGAUCUUCCAGCCCUAGAUAAACUACCAGAUGAUUGUAGCCACGUGAGAAAUCAUGAAUGAGAAAAAUCCCAGAACCACCCGGCUGAGCUCAUUUGCAGAAUCAUGAGUAAAUAAAUGGUUACUGUUUCAAGCCAUUAUAUUUUGAGGUGAUCCUUUAUGUAGAAACAGAAAACUGAGACAUAUUGGAAAUUGCUCAGAGAAGUUAUGGCUAGGGUUAGGGUUAUGGGUUGGUCAUAUCCCCUAACCACAAGGCUAUGGUUUUAAGAAUGUGCUCUUCAGUAAGCAUGUGUUGUUUUUGGCCACCCAGCAUCCGUUCCUCCCUCAUUUGGUAAGAACACUAGGAUUUUACUCAGGGCAAUCAAUUAUUCAAUUCUCACAUGUGAUUCCUUUGGCCACAGUGUUUAGACAGGAAGAAGUAGGUGACUUAAUUCAGACAAUUAAAUGUCUGGUCCAGGACUUUUGUUCAAACUCUCUUUUCAUCUAGAAAGCAGACUCUGAAGUUAUGAAAGAUCUGAGGAAACUGGUCUGGCCCUCCUCUUUGGUAAUGGAGACAUACCAAAUAGCCACUGGAAACAUACUGAAUUUUUACUGUAAAGAAGUUCCUAAAGGAAACCCUCAUGUAGAGCUGGAGGGAGUAUAAAUUGAUGCUGCCAUUCUGUUGUAAUCUGACCAUAAUAAGUAAAGUAAAAACACAUAUACAUGUUGAUGCAGCAAAAUAUACCCCAGGGAAACUCUACUAUAAGUCCAAAAGGGGACACAGAUGAAAAUCAUCAUCAGAGCAGUUUCUGGUAGCAGAGAAUGGACACAGGUAUCAAAAACUAGGAGAAUGGGAGUUCCCUGGUGGCCUAGUGACUAGGAUUUGGCACUGUCACUGCAGUGGCCAGGGUUCGAUCCCUGGUCGGGUCACUGAGAUCCUGCUAGCUGCACAGGGAGGCCAAAAAAAAAAAAA